RNAcentral lists this ribosomal RNA (256 nucleotides) under uncultured marine bacterium pM-34. Its description in RNAcentral is "partial 16S ribosomal RNA". It matches the Rfam family "Bacterial small subunit ribosomal RNA", at positions 1102 to 1382 of the family's 1533-position model. Lineage: Bacteria; Pseudomonadati; Pseudomonadota; Alphaproteobacteria. The record is from RNAcentral.
CCCACGUCCUUAGUUACCAGCAUUAGUUGGGUACCCUAAGGAGACUGCCGGUGAUAAGCCGGAGGAAGGUGUGGACGACCUCAAGUCAUCAUGGCCCUUACGGGUUGGGCUACACACGUGCUACAAUGGCAUCUACAGUGAGUUAAUCUCCAAAAGAUGUCUCAGUUCGGAUUGGGGUCUGCAACUCGACCCCAUGAAGUUGGAAUCGCUAGUAAUCGCGGAACAGCAUGCCGCGGUGAAUACGUUCCCGGGCCUU